UAGUUUUGAAAAUAUUUGAUGUUGUAUUACUGUGAUCCAUUGGUUGGAGUUCCAUGAUUUUGUUUCUUACUAUUUUUUUUAAGCUUGAGUUUUGUGAGCAAAAAAAAAUCUGUAAAUUUAUUUUUUACUGUUGUUGAUUAUAUGUACAAAAUACCGCGAACAAAUCUCUCUUCUUCUUUUUUGUUCUUCUGCAUUUUGUUUAUAACAUUUUUUGGAUAAUCUUUAUGUUUACCACUUUGUUGGUAUCAUUAUUUAUGAUUAACAUCACUAAAAAGACAUAUUUAAAAAUAUAUAUUCUUCAUUAAGAGGUAAAAAACUCUUAUACUUUGCUCUAAAUAAUAAAUUAUCAUGGCUUGUGUCUCGAGAUGAGAAAACGCAGGAAUAUAAAAAAUUCAAAAAUAAGCAAAAGCAUUCCCAAUGUCCUUUUGUGUGAAGUAGGGGCGGGCGUUCGGGUUCGGUUCGGGUAUAUUCGGGUUUCGGAUUUUCGGGGUCAAAGAUUUCAGCCCCAUUCGGGUAUUUCUAAAUUUUGGUUCGGGUUCGGUUUGAGUUCAGAUAACCCAUUAAAAUUAUUAUUUUUUAAAUUUUAA
RNAcentral lists this long non-coding RNA (587 nucleotides) under Brassica napus (rape). RNAcentral describes it as "long non-coding RNA (BNAP_LNC018724)". The record is from RNAcentral. Lineage: Eukaryota; Viridiplantae; Streptophyta; Magnoliopsida; Brassicales; Brassicaceae.